This 1018-nucleotide long non-coding RNA is filed under the name Monodelphis domestica (gray short-tailed opossum). RNAcentral describes it as "lncRNA (ENSMODG00000049353.1)". Lineage: Eukaryota; Metazoa; Chordata; Mammalia; Didelphimorphia; Didelphidae. The record is from RNAcentral.
CAGGGAACAAGAUGGAAUCUUUGACUUUUGUCUAGUCCGAUAUCUGAGGGAAGAUUCUAGAAUCAAGUUCUGCCUUCUUCCCUGAGAAGCUUCAUAGGGUAGAGAAAUGCUUAUUAAGCACUUUGGGCCAGGGAUAAGGCUGAUAUAACAGAACAACAGCCCCUGCCAUCCGAGGGUUUCCAUUCUAUUUGGGAAGGAUGAGCUGAAAGGGGGAGAGAUGGAAAAGAAGAGGAAAGAUGGAAAAGUAAUGAGCUGAGCUUGGUUUGAAGUGAGGAUGAGUGGCAUGGAUACUUCCUCAAUAUGGAGGUUCUGAAAGUUCUCACCAAUCAGAGGGGGAGCUAUAAGGGUGGUUGGGUUACCAGUUUGAGAAAGUCUUCAUGAAUGACUCAGUCUCUCUGUGCCUUGAUUUUCCUGUUUUCCAGAGAGGAGGAUAAAGCUGUACACAAAGACAUAAUGAAGUAUGCAGUAGAAAGAACAUUGGAUUGUGUGACCCUGGGCAAGUCACUUAACCCCCAUUGGAACCAAUAUAUAAUAGAGAUUCCAAGAUGGAAGAAUGAUGAACUGGAGGGAUUCCAUGUGAACUGGAACAACCUCCAGGAAGUGAUGCAGAGUGAAAGGAGCGGAACCAGGAGAACCUUAUACACAGCGAUGGAUACACUGUGGUACAAUCAGAUAUAAUAGACUUCUCUACUAGCAGCAAUGCAAUGAUCCAGGACAAUUCUGAGGGACUUAUGAGAAAGAUCACUAUCCACAUCCAGAGGAAGAACCGUGGGAGCAGAAACACAGAAGAAAAACAUCUGCUUGAUGAUGUGGUUUGAUGGGGAUAUGGACUCUAAAGGAUCACUCUAUUGCAAAUAUUGAUAAUAUGGAAAUAGGUUUUGAACAAUGAUACAUGUAAAACCCAGUGGAAUUUCUCAUUGGCUACAGGAGAGGGGGAGGGAAAGAACAUGAAUCAUGUGACCAUGGAAAAUAUUCUAAAUUAAUUAAAAAAUGAAAAAUAAAAAAACAAAAACAAACA